Molecule: ribosomal RNA, 253 nt
Filed under: uncultured bacterium
Lineage: Bacteria
Description: partial 16S ribosomal RNA
Rfam family: Bacterial small subunit ribosomal RNA
Source: RNAcentral
UACGUAGGGGGCAAGCGUUAUCCGGAUUUACUGGGUGUAAAGGGAGCGUAGACGGCGGUGCAAGCCAGAUGUGAAAGCCCGGGGCUCAACCCCGGGACUGCAUUUGGAACUGUGCUGCUAGAGUGUCGGAGAGGCAGGCGGAAUUCCUAGUGUAGCGGUGAAAUGCGUAGAUAUUAGGAGGAACACCAGUGGCGAAGGCGGCCUGCUGGACGACGACUGACGUUGAGGCUCGAAAGCGUGGGGAGCAAACAGG